CCCUUAGAUGUUCUGGGCUGCACGCGCGCUACACUGAUGCACUCAACGAGUUUACAACCUUAUCCGGAAGGAUUGGGUAAUCUUUUGAACGUGCAUCGUGAUGGGGAUAGACUUUUGCAAUUUUUGGUCUUCAACGAGGAAUUCCUAGUAAACGCAAGUCAUCAACUUGCAUUGAUUACGUCCCUGCCCUUUGUACACACCGCCCGUCGCACCUACCGAUUGAAUGGUCCGGUGAAGCCUCCGGAUUGGCGCGCACCUCGGUGCCGCCGAGAAGUUGGCUAAACCUUACCAUUUAGAGGAAGGUGAAGUCGUAACA
RNAcentral lists this ribosomal RNA (316 nucleotides) under uncultured eukaryote. RNAcentral describes it as "partial 18S ribosomal RNA". It matches the Rfam family "Eukaryotic small subunit ribosomal RNA", at positions 1470 to 1796 of the family's 1831-position model. The record is from RNAcentral.